CCUACGGGAGGCAGCAGUAGGGAAUAUUGCACAAUGGGGGAAACCCUGAUGCAGCAACGCCGCGUGAGUGAUGACGGUCUUCGGAUUGUAAAGCUCUGUCUUUAGGGACGAUAAUGACGGUACCUAAGGAGGAAGCCACGGCUAACUACGUGCCAGCAGCCGCGGUAAU
RNAcentral lists this ribosomal RNA (169 nucleotides) under uncultured Clostridium sp. RNAcentral's name for it is "partial 16S ribosomal RNA". It matches the Rfam family "Bacterial small subunit ribosomal RNA", at positions 338 to 524 of the family's 1533-position model. The record is from RNAcentral. Lineage: Bacteria; Bacillati; Bacillota; Clostridia; Eubacteriales; Clostridiaceae.